RNAcentral lists this unclassified non-coding RNA (242 nucleotides) under uncultured fungus. RNAcentral's name for it is "sequence contains ITS1". The stretch from base 1 to 99 matches the Rfam family "5.8S ribosomal RNA", at positions 49 to 154 of the family's 154-position model. The record is from RNAcentral. Lineage: Eukaryota; Fungi.
GAGAAUGCGAUAUGCAGUGUGAAUUGCAGAACCACGAAUCAUUUGAUCUUUGAACGCAAAUGGCGCGGAUAUUUUGUCCGCAUACUUGUUUCAGUGUGCCUCAACAAAUCCCUACUUAAAUGUAAGAGAAAUCUCUCUUAUCAAAUGCAUGCUCCAAUAGCAGUCACAUUUUUUGUGAGCUAGAAAGAGUACUAUUGACUUUAUUGCACCUGAAAUCAAGUAAGAUCACCCGCUGGACUUAA